GUCGUCAGCUCGUGUUGUGAAAUGUUGGGUUAAGUCCCGCAACGAGCGCAACCCUUAUCCUUUGUUGCCAGCGGUUCGGCCGGGAACUCAAAGGAGACUGCCAGUGAUAAACUGGAGGAAGGUGGGGAUGACGUCAAGUCAUCAUGGCCCUUACGAGUAGGGCUACACACGUGCUACAAUGGCGUAUACAAAGAGAAGCGACCUCGCGAGAGCAAGCGGACCUCAUAAAGUACGUCGUAGUCCGGAUUGGAGUCUGCAACUCGACUCCAUGAAGUCGGAAUCGCUAGUAAUCGUGGAUCAGAAUGCUACGGUGAAUACGUUCCCGGGCCUUGUACACACCGCCCGUCACACCAUGGGAGUGGGUUGCAAAAGAAGUAGGUAGCUUAACCUUCGGGAGGGCGCUUACCACUUUGUGAUUCAUGACUGGGGUGAAGUCGUAACAAGGUAACCGUAGGGGAACCUGCGGUUGGAUCACCUCCUUA
RNAcentral lists this ribosomal RNA (482 nucleotides) under Enterobacter chengduensis. RNAcentral describes it as "bacterial SSU rRNA". It matches the Rfam family "Bacterial small subunit ribosomal RNA", at positions 1051 to 1533 of the family's 1533-position model. Lineage: Bacteria; Pseudomonadati; Pseudomonadota; Gammaproteobacteria; Enterobacterales; Enterobacteriaceae. The record is from RNAcentral.